Molecule: ribosomal RNA, 468 nt
Filed under: uncultured bacterium
Lineage: Bacteria
Description: partial 16S ribosomal RNA
Rfam family: Bacterial small subunit ribosomal RNA
Source: RNAcentral
GACGAACGCUGGCGGCGUGCUUAACACAUGCAAGUCGAACGGAAAGGCCCUGCUUUUGUGGGGUGCUCGAGUGGCGAACGGGUGAGUAACACGUGAGUAACCUGCCCUUGACUUUGGGAUAACUUCAGGAAACUGGGGCUAAUACCGGAUAGGAGCUCCUGCUGCAUGGUGGGGGUUGGAAAGUUUCGGCGGUUGGGGAUGGACGGGCGGCUUAUCAGCUUGUUGGUGGGGUAGUGGCUUACCAAGGCUUUGACGGGUAGCCGGCCUGAGAGGGUGACCGGCCACAUUGGGACUGAGAUACGGCCCAGACUCCUACGGGAGGCAGCAGUGGGGAAUAUUGCACAAUGGGCGGAAGCCUGAUGCAGCAGCGCCGCGUGCGGGAUGACGGCCUUCGGGUUGUAAACCGCUUUCGCCUGUGACGAAGCGUGAGUGACGGUAAUGGGUAAAGAAGCACCGGCUAACUACGUG